RNAcentral lists this small RNA (3545 nucleotides) under Rattus norvegicus (Norway rat). RNAcentral describes it as "uncharacterized LOC102552550". The record is from RNAcentral. Lineage: Eukaryota; Metazoa; Chordata; Mammalia; Rodentia; Muridae.
CAUUGGGCGCGCGACACCUCCGAACCUCUGGUAUGUCAUUACAGCGGUGGAAAGACUCCUGGCUCCAAACUGAAGUGGGAGAUACCCAAGGGUCCCAGUGAUGGCUGAAGCAAUUGUUGGGAGCAGCCUCAAGAGAGGGAAGCAGGCUUCAUGUUAAAAAGCAAUUGUAUUCUGGCCUUAGGUUAGAUCAAAGCAGCCAUACCUGGACCUGCACCUGCAGUUCUGCUUGAACUCAAUAGAUAGAAUAAAUCUGGUUGUCAGGUCGCUUAGCACCAGUGGUCAGGUCACUAAACAACCCACUCUACUGUCCCCCCCACACCCACUGGCCGAUUUACCCAGCCAAUAUCCUGGUCAUCGAGCCAGACCCAUUCUUCUGUGGUUACCUAACCCCUCCCCAUAUCCUCCUUCUACCAGUCUAUCUUCUGCCUGAGAAAAAUUAAAAAUUGUCAGCUUAAUCAGACCUCUUGAUUUACUGUCUGUUCUUUGCCUCUCUUGUCCCCCAUUCUCUCCUAGGUGGACCCCAGACCCUGGUCGAAUGCCCUGCGGGACGGGGCAAGCAAUGACCUCAUGCAGACCUGGAAGACGGUAUGUUUUACAUGUAGAUUCAACAACUGCUUCUGCCAGUGGUGGGCAUACACGCCACAACAGAGUUCGAAAUGACAGCCAGAGGACUCCCAGGAACCCAAGCCACAGAGAAAAAGCUAAGAGAAUACCACGCAUGCCACCAGCCCUGCGGUCUCAGGAUAAGCCUGCCACACAUCAGCCUGUGAAGCCAUCUGGCAAGAGGAGCCUGAGACAGGCAGAGGGUUAGGGAAGAGGCAGACGUUGUAGGCGCUCCAGGGAUGGAGGAGAAGGGUGUCGCUCAGAGUGGGGAACUCCCAGGAAAUGGAGGUCAUCUGAUGUCCAGGCAAGUCUAAGGGCUGUGAAAAUAAGUCCAGGUGAGUAGCAUUCUGGUCCCACGUCCAUGGCUAUGACAGGAAGUAGACAGGAAGAGAACAGACCUCUACCAGCCAAGCUCAGCCAUAGCUGAAGGGGAGAUAUGUAAAGAAUCAGGUCAUACUUGGCCCUUGCUGAGGUGACCACCAAGCCUGGUGUGAAAUCUGCCCUUGUUCUUCUAGUCAUAUCCAGCCCCAGCCCCUCCAGAAUCACUCUGCUCUGCACACACACACACACACACACACACACACACACACACACACAAAGGCAUGUGCACUUAUGCACACAGGUCUAUGUACACAUAUGAGUCCAUGCACACAGAUAAAGAGGUGUGUGCUUGCAAAUACCUAAAUAUGCACUUAUUCAUAUACACACGCCAACAUAAUACACGUUCUUGGCCCCUGCCCCAGGGCCUUUGCACAAGAACUUCCAGCUUCCCCAUGACACCCCUCCAUGACUGUCAAUCUGUAAUUUUUAUGGUUCUGACUCCCCUGACUAUGCCCAACGACUUAGACUUUCUCCAAAGUUGUCACCUUCCAAAGAAUGCACUGUGACUGUUGUGCCCACAGCUAGGUGGCUGGAAUCUUUUAUUUACAUCUACAAUGGUGCCUGGCAUACAAUGGGUGCUCAAUGAAUAUUUACUGGAUGCUGUCUGGGACCAGGAGCCAUCAGCUAAUGCCACCCAUAGUCAGGAAUGCAGAGGAACUGUUGGCAAGCAGGGGCCUGGCUACCUCAACUGUCUCACACACGGGUCUGAGGACAAGCAACCAGGGCCAGCUCAGUCCUAGGACCGUGUCACCCUAAGAACACUAGGUGGGCCUUUGUGAGUGAAUGCUGGAAGUUCAUGGUCCCCAAAGGUCAUGUAUGAAUCAGUCUGAGGAUUUCAGGCCCCAGGAGCUCUCUGUGAGGACCCAACCGAGCCGAGUACAACCCCAUGAGAUGAUCAUUUGUGCUAGGAUUGGCUUUAAUCAGCAACACAUUAGAGGGGCUCAUGUGAUAACAGCUUAAUGACUGUUAUGGGGAUAAUCUAUUUUAUUCUCAGCUGGUUCCCGUGGUAAUUACAUUUCUGUUGUGUUUAAUUCAUAACUUGAUCAUUUAUUCCAAGUUGUGUUGGCCUUGGACUACAGGCUCUUGGGAACUUCCUCAGGAGGAGCUCAAACUGAGUGUUUCCUCUCUGCCUCUGCCUCUGCCUCAUCCCUUCCUCCUUCUUCCCUUCCUUUCCUGUCCCUCUCUCCCUCCUCUCUUUCAUGGAGGCAGUUGAGGUUGGCUAUCCCAGAUCAGGGCACAUCCUCUCCCAUGGCCGGGUGCUUCAUGUACACACUGCACCCUCUAAUCAUGCAAGGGUCUCAUAGCUCUUUAACUCAUGCCUCAGUUUCCCUACUUCCAGAAAAGGGUGAUACCAUGGCCUGGCUUCACCAAGGCCUCAUUCUAAUGAAUGCAAAUUUUAUUAAAUAACCAAAGACACCCUCAUCCUUGUUCCAUAGAGAGAGAAAUGACACAGAGUGGUCAGCGUAUGGUGGUCACACACGCCACCGGGUGAUGCCUCCCAGGCAUGUAGCUUCCCUCUUGGAGCCUCAGUCUUCCCAAACACCCUGUCUGUUGUGCUAGUGUAUCUUCAAUGCAGAUUGAGAGCAACCUGCUUCUAACAAACAUAGCCAGUCACCCUCAAAUCCCUUCAGGAUAGUCUCGGGUACCCCAGGUCCUCAGAUUGUCACUGAAGCCAAGGCCUCUGAUAUACACCUCCCACCUUGUCCCCAGACCCAACCCCAUUCUAGGAGAGCAGUUUAAUUCCAGGAGAGUGGUUGAGGAACCCUCAGUGAUUAACUGGCAGCAGCCCAACUACUGGGCAAUUACUACACCAGGAAGUCACUAAUUAGGAGUCUGAUUAGCCCCAGGUCCCUUCCUCACCCCAUGUCCAAGUGAAUUUUAGAUUGUAUCUCCUGACCGUUGUGAAGGAAACACAAUGAAAACAGUUGCUGUUAAUUUCUUACUCUCCCCAGAGGCCUCUUGGGCUCCUGCAGAGGGACCAAGGGACAAAGUGACAGAAAUGUCCUGGUCAUCUCCAGCCCUUUAAGAUGGUCUGAAAGGUGAAAGCCACACCCAAAAAUCCACGGAGGUUCAGAAGGCAAGACUGCCACCUAACUACUAUAGGGGCCUUGGUGAGUAGAGAGGACCCUGGCCAUCGACAUCCCAAAGACUCGUGUCCUUGCUGAUUGGAGGGCACCAGAGUUUAGAAGGCAAGGGAACACAAAGUAAGGAAAGACCAUGACUGUGGAGGAGCUAACCUGACGGAAGCUCUGUGUGAGAAGUCGAUAUGGAGGAAAGAGAGUUAAAGCAACACAGCCUCUGACUGACUUCACUCUACUCCACUCGUCUGCUUCCCUGCUAACCCUGACCUCACAUCGUCCGUGUGGAGGCCACAUCCCUCAGUUGCAUGGCUGUACACCUGUGCCCCGAAGGACAGCGCUUUGGAUUCCUGGCAGAACAGAUGGACUCCUUGGCUGAAUUGUGCCUGGGAUUGAGGUGAGAGGCUGCCACUGCCUUGGGCAGAUCUUGUCCUGCUACUAUGGUGGACUAUAUCUAUGAACCGUGAGCCCAAAUAAAUCUUC